UAUCAAAUUGCCAAGGACGGCCUAAUAAGAGAUGGCAAGCAUCCAUUGGUGCUACAUCACACCAUUGUGAGUCUUGGUAGUUUUUUCCAAUAGAGAAUGAUACCAAACAACGUUGGUUGACUACUACAUCACUACCUUUUUUGAACCACUGCAGCUUAUAGGAUAUUGGCUUCCUUUCUGUUUGCAAGUUCAACUUGUCUACCAUCUCUUGUGCCACAAUGUUUUCACAACUCCCACCAUCAAUGAUAACUUGACACACCUUACCAUUGGAAGUGCACUUUGUAUGAAAUAUAUUAUGUCUUCUCCAAUCUGGGUGCUCUUCUAUUUUUGAUGCAUUCAUGGUUCUUCUUAUCACAAGUGACUCACCUUGAUCACUCCAGAAAAUAAGCGGAAUUGCGGAAACAAGAGAAAUUGGUGCAAAAAUUGGAGCAAAUUGGAGUUUCCGACAAAAGGACGAAAUAGUCAAUGCGGGUCAACCGUGAUCAAUGCCAUCAAGGGAGCGGAAUUCAAUUGCCUCCGAGAGUAUGUGUGGAAUUACAUGGCGACGAGAGAAGAAAGAAGACGGAGAAGAUGAAGAAAGAAGAAAAAAAAAAGAAAGGGAAAAAGUGAAAAUAAUAAUAAUUAUUAAUAUUAUUUAAAAAAAAAAAGUUUGCUGACGUCAUGAUGACGUCAGCAUGGCUGAUCCCUUCUUCUUCUUCCCACGUGCAGCCAUUUCCUUUCCUUUCUUUUAUUUUCCUUUUCAUUUUCUUCCUUCCUCUCAGCCGCUGCCACGUGUCCCUAUCUCUCAUUUUCUUUCUUCUUGUACACGAACAGCCACACACACACACGUUAAUUAACCUAGGCCAUAUAUAUAUACCCUUUUCUCUUUGCAAUCACGGUAGAGACGAACAGCGCCGCAGCACCAAAAAAGAAAACAGAGGCAGCCCUUUGGGCUGCUCUCUCUCCCCCAUCCUUCUCCACCAUUUUUUUCAUCUUCUCUUUCUAUUUUAUUUUGGUAUUUGAGAAUUACUCACUCAAACCUUCUAAGCAUCAAGGGACUUCAUCAUCAUCAAGAUUUGAAGAUUGGGUAAAAGUGGGGAGCUAUAAAUCAAGGCUUGUCAUAAUUGCUUCAUAGCAAUUGUGACUUGUUCUUGUUACUUCUCACUUCUUUUCACCUUUUCCUCUUUAUUGAUAUUUGUUGAUGUUAAUUUAAUUAUGGGUAGUGAGUAAUUUCUUUGUUGGGGGUUAGGGUUGUGUGCCCUAAUCCAAAUUUGAUGUAAUGGAUGCUUAAUUUAAUUUAUAUAUGGAAUUUGUUAAUUA
Molecule: long non-coding RNA, 1299 nt
Organism: Rosa chinensis
Lineage: Eukaryota; Viridiplantae; Streptophyta; Magnoliopsida; Rosales; Rosaceae
Exons: 2
Source: RefSeq, a predicted model, not a curated record